RNAcentral lists this ribosomal RNA (251 nucleotides) under uncultured bacterium. Its description in RNAcentral is "partial 16S ribosomal RNA". It matches the Rfam family "Bacterial small subunit ribosomal RNA", at positions 16 to 263 of the family's 1533-position model. The record is from RNAcentral.
AUCAUGGCUCAGAUUGAACGCUGGCGGCAGGCCUAACACAUGCAAGUCGAACGGUAACAGAAAGCAGCUUGCUGCUUUGCUGACGAGUGGCGGACGGGUGAGUACUGUCUGGGAAACUGCCCGAUGGAGGGGGAUAACUACUGGAAACGGUAGCUAAUACCGCAUAACGUUGCAGGACCAAAGAGGGGAACCUUCGGGUCUCUUGCCAUCGGAUGUGCCCAGAAGGGAUUAGCUAGUAGGUGGGGUAACGG